Molecule: transfer RNA, 73 nt
Filed under: Vicugna pacos (alpaca)
Lineage: Eukaryota; Metazoa; Chordata; Mammalia; Artiodactyla; Camelidae
Description: tRNA-Ala (AGC) (tRNA-Ala-AGC-548-1)
Rfam family: tRNA
About the family: Transfer RNA (tRNA) molecules are approximately 80 nucleotides in length.
Source: RNAcentral
GGUGGCUAUAGCUCAGUGGUAGAGUGCAUGCUUAGCAUGCAUGAGGUCCUGGGUUCAAUCCCCAGUACCUCCA